This 294-nucleotide unclassified non-coding RNA is filed under the name uncultured Tricholomataceae. Its description in RNAcentral is "sequence contains ITS2". The stretch from base 1 to 52 matches the Rfam family "5.8S ribosomal RNA", at positions 103 to 154 of the family's 154-position model. Lineage: Eukaryota; Fungi; Basidiomycota; Agaricomycetes; Agaricales; Tricholomataceae. The record is from RNAcentral.
AACGCACCUUGCGCUCCUUGGCAUUCCGAGGAGCAUGCCUGUUUGAGUGUCAUUAAAUUCUCAAUCCAUAAUAUUUAUUUAUUAUGGACUUGGAUGUGGGAGUGUGCAGGCCCCUUUUGAAGGAUCUGCUCUUCUUAAAUGCAUUAGUCGGACUUGUUGCAACAGUCUGUGGUGUGAUAAUAUCUACGCCCAGGCCCUGUGCAGUCUUGCGGUCCAGCUUCCAAUGGUCCAUUCAAUUGGACAGCUCAUUGACAAUUUGACCUCAAAUCAGGUAGGACUACCCGCUGAACUUAA